CGGGACGGGUGAGUAACGCGUGGAUAACCUGCCUCACACUGGGGGAUAACAGUUAGAAAUGACUGCUAAUACCGCAUGAGCGCACAGUACCGCAUGGUACGGUGUGAAAAACUCCGGUGGUGUGAGAUGGAUCCGCGUCUGAUUAGCCAGUUGGCGGGGUAACGGCCCACCAAAGCGACGAUCAGUAGCCGACCUGAAAGGGUGACCGGCUACAUUGGGACUGAGACACGGCCCAA
RNAcentral lists this ribosomal RNA (236 nucleotides) under uncultured bacterium. RNAcentral's name for it is "partial 16S ribosomal RNA". It matches the Rfam family "Bacterial small subunit ribosomal RNA", at positions 100 to 334 of the family's 1533-position model. The record is from RNAcentral.